RNAcentral lists this transfer RNA (71 nucleotides) under Neotoma lepida (desert woodrat). It matches the Rfam family "tRNA". Rfam says of the family: Transfer RNA (tRNA) molecules are approximately 80 nucleotides in length. Their secondary structure includes four short double-helical elements and three loops (D, anti-codon, and T loops). Lineage: Eukaryota; Metazoa; Chordata; Mammalia; Rodentia; Cricetidae. The record is from Rfam by way of RNAcentral.
UUGUAUGUAGCUCAGUGGUAGGGUGUGUGCUUAACAUGUACAGGAUGCUGGGUUCAAUCCCAGCAUAAACA